CCACAUACACUGAGAUCUGUGCAGGCAUGCAGAACCUUCUUGCUUUGAGGUGACAGGUAGCAAAAGAUUCAAGUCUAAAGGUGACCAUUCAGGGGUGUAUCCUUCCUUAUGGUACCAUGAGAGCUGGGUUAAGCUCCAGCCCAACCAAGACCAAACCGGAUAGAUGAAUGGGAAACUACCAUGUGAAGCAGUUAAAGGCAGAGUACCCAGGUGGGGCACCUUUCAGCACCCUGGCCAGUGACUCAGAGAAGGCUGGGUGUCUUGAACUGUCAUCCUGCUUCUAAGUGCAAAAGACAGCCCGGAGUCAAUCCUCGACGUGAAGAUGCACGGAAACAGUCCUUUUGUCCACAGACAAAAACCUGCAGGCAGUGAACUGGGAGGAGGCAAGUAUGCUCAAGUAUAA
Molecule: non-coding RNA, 403 nt
Organism: Neolamprologus brichardi
Lineage: Eukaryota; Metazoa; Chordata; Actinopteri; Cichliformes; Cichlidae
Source: RefSeq, a predicted model, not a curated record